CGGCGUGGAUCAGACAUGCUAGUCGAACGAGAAGCCGGGGGCAACUCCGGUUGUAAAGUGGCGAAAGGGCGAGCAAUACGUGACCAAUCUACCCACUAGAUGGGAAUAACCACUGGAAACGGUGGAUAAUGCCCAGUAAGCCUGGAGUACGGCAUCGCACUCCUGGGAAACGGUUGGGAUCUUCGGACCUUCUGCUAGAGGAAGAGGUCACGUCCUAUUAGCUAGUUGGUGAGGUAAUGGCUCACCAAGGCUUUGAUGGGUAGCCGGCCUGAGAGGGUGGUCGGCCGCACUGGGACUGAGAUACGGCCCAGACU
This 314-nucleotide ribosomal RNA is filed under the name uncultured bacterium. RNAcentral's name for it is "bacterial SSU rRNA". It matches the Rfam family "Bacterial small subunit ribosomal RNA", at positions 40 to 337 of the family's 1533-position model. The record is from RNAcentral.